This 253-nucleotide ribosomal RNA is filed under the name uncultured bacterium. RNAcentral's name for it is "partial 16S ribosomal RNA". It matches the Rfam family "Bacterial small subunit ribosomal RNA", at positions 524 to 776 of the family's 1533-position model. The record is from RNAcentral.
CACGUAGGGGGCGAGCGUUGUCCGGAUUUAUUGGGCGUAAAGCGCACGUAGGCGGAUUUGUAAGUCAGGGGUGAAAUCCCGAGGCUCAACCUCGGAACUGCCUUUGAUACUGCAAAUCUCGAGUCCGGAAGAGGUGAGUGGAAUUCCUAGUGUAGAGGUGAAAUUCGUAGAUAUUAGGAAGAACACCAGUGGCGAAGGCGGCUCACUGGUCCGGUACUGACGCUGAGGUGCGAAAGCGUGGGGAGCAAACAGG